GCCUUAUGGGAUUUGUAGUACUUCGGGAGAGCCUCGGGCGUGCCUGGAGGGGGUUGUCCAAGCAACCCCGGUGGAUAGCAAAUCUAAGUGAUGCGCUAGUAGCUUCCACCCAUACAGGGGAAAAAACACUUCGUUUCGAACUCCUCUCGCCAUGGGAACUUGACUUUGUUAUUUCUUUGUUUGUCCGCAGCUUUCAAAUCCAAGACUUCGGAAUCUGAGUCCCGCAGUUCGCGCAUCUACUCGCCUGUACUUGGAGCAGGGAAGCUUUCUUAGAGAUGCAGUGGCCCUCAAAGUGACAGAAAUCCAGCCAGAUGAAGCUCCUGUGAGAGAAGGGUGUAUUGUCCAGGUCACGCUGAAGGAGGAGUGAUCCAAGGAAAACAGCUAUAUCCAUUCUUUUUGCCAUUUGCUCAAACCCAUCAUCACUGUAGAGAGCAUGGACCAGCACAUUCAACUUGAUUAAGAAAAUGUUGGAGGCCUGGCAUUGAUGGCACACACCUUUAAUCCCAGCACUCAGGAGGCAGAGGCAGGCAGAUCUCUGUGAGUUCGAGACCAGCCUGGUCUCCAGAGCGAGUACCAGGAUAGGCUCCAAAGCUACACAGAGAAAUCCUGUCUCUAAAAACCAAAAAGAAAAAAAAAAAAAGAAAAAGAAAAUGUUGGCUAAAGCCUUUUGUACUAUAAAUAUUGUAGAUGAAAACUGAAUUCAUACAACUAAGGAGUUUGCCCUGUGUGUAUUUAUUUCAUUACCUGAACAGUGUCUCCUCCUGACUCUAGAAAGUUCUUCCCCCACUGGUGACUGAAUCCUGGUACUGACUCUUCUAGCCACAAAGAAGGCACCUGAUCCAGACGUGCUAUUCUUGAGCACUGGCCCUCUGCCACUGGUUGAACACAGCUGUCCCGGUGGGCUACAAAGAUGUCCUUGAUGGUCAUAUCCUCACUGACUGAUGACUCGGCUGUGGCGUUCAUGGAGACUGUCCACAGCAGGGUGUGGCAUCUGGGAUCUGUGCUCUACAGGAUAUAGGUUGAGAAACUGGUUUCAUCUAAACCCUUCAUUUGAGAUACCAAGAUACCAGACUGUGAAGUCCCAAUGUCAAAGGAGAAACUUGGGAGGAGUAUGCAUUUAUAGUUCACUGAGACCACAGAAAUAUGCCAUGGCUGUUUUCAAGCUGUUCAAGGUCCACACUGAUGCCCUGGGCUGUGCUGCUACUGCUGCUGGUGGUGGUGGUGGUGCAGCUGCCAAGAUCCUCUCCCCAGCUGACUUCCUUAAGCUGCUUGGAGUUAAGCACCUAGCAUUCUGAAGGCCUCUUCAAG
Molecule: long non-coding RNA, 1308 nt
Filed under: Cricetulus griseus (Chinese hamster)
Lineage: Eukaryota; Metazoa; Chordata; Mammalia; Rodentia; Cricetidae
Description: lncRNA (ENSCGRG00015032214.1)
Source: RNAcentral